GAUGAACGCUGGCGGCGUGCCUAAUACAUGCAAGUCGAGCGAAUGGAUUAAGAGCUUGCUCUUAUGAAGUUAGCGGCGGACGGGUGAGUAACACGUGGGUAACCUGCCCAUAAGACUAGGAUAACUCCGGGAAACCGGGGCUAAUACCGGAUAACAUUUUGAACCGCAUGGUUCGAAAUUGAAAGGCGGCUUCGGCUGACACUUAUGGAUGGACCCGGGUCGCAUUAGCUAGUUGGUGAGGUAACGGCUCACCAAGGCAACGAUGCGUAGCCGACCGGAGAGGGUGAUCGGCCACACUGGGACUGAGACACGGCCCAGACUCCUACGGGAGGCAGCAGUAGGGAAUCUUCCGCAAUGGACGAAAGUCUGACGGAGCAACGCCGCGUGAGUGAUGAAGGCUUUCGGGUCGUAAAACUCUGUUGUUAGGGAAGAACAAGUGCUAGUUGAAUAAGCUGGCACCUCGACGGUACCUAACCAGAAAGCCACGGCUAACUACGUGCCAGCAGCCGCGGUAA
RNAcentral lists this ribosomal RNA (515 nucleotides) under uncultured bacterium. Its description in RNAcentral is "partial 16S ribosomal RNA". It matches the Rfam family "Bacterial small subunit ribosomal RNA", at positions 28 to 523 of the family's 1533-position model. The record is from RNAcentral.